GGUUGGAGAGUUGGCUCAGCCGUUAAGAGCACUGACUGCUCUUCAGAAGGUCCUGAGUUCAAAUCGCAGCAACCA
RNAcentral lists this transfer RNA (75 nucleotides) under Mus musculus (house mouse). RNAcentral's name for it is "tRNA-Ser". Lineage: Eukaryota; Metazoa; Chordata; Mammalia; Rodentia; Muridae. The record is from RNAcentral.